Molecule: unclassified non-coding RNA, 356 nt
Filed under: Hevea brasiliensis (rubber tree)
Lineage: Eukaryota; Viridiplantae; Streptophyta; Magnoliopsida; Malpighiales; Euphorbiaceae
Source: RNAcentral
UAAUUUCAACUCUGAAAUAACUGGUGUUAGGGUUUCUACCUAACAGAAUGCAUAAUUGUUUCACACACGCAUUCCAUGAAUGAAGAAGGAUUUACCAUGGCAACAAAAGAAAUAAGUUUCUUGUCAGAGCUUAUGUUUCAUUGAUAUAGAAUCAGAAGUUCAGUAAAGGAAGUGCCAAAACCUUCUCUAAUCUUGCUGGUGGUAAGUAAUGAUGAGAUGAACUGUAAAUAACAAGGAUUAUUAAGCGUUUCAGUUCUAUAUAUGCCCCAAAUUGAGGCAAAACCAACGAUUUGGCAAGGAAGGGAUUGAGGAAACCCCUUUUUUUUAUUAUUUCAAUGUCUGUUAAAGAAAAACAG